RNAcentral lists this long non-coding RNA (261 nucleotides) under Salvia miltiorrhiza (redroot sage). RNAcentral describes it as "long non-coding RNA (SMIL_LNC002250)". Lineage: Eukaryota; Viridiplantae; Streptophyta; Magnoliopsida; Lamiales; Lamiaceae. The record is from RNAcentral.
AUUUUGCGAUCUCACCCUUGAAAUCAAGACAUAAUGAAUUCUGCGUAAUGGUCGAAUCAAAUGAAGCCAACUGAAAAAAAAAAAAAAAAAAGGUGAUUAAGAGAUAAUGUUGAGGACAUUUCCUUUUUGAUUAGGUAGUUUCGAGAUGUAUUAAAAGUUGUGAUUUAACUUAGUGUCACCUUUUCUUCUCCCCUUUUACUUUAUAUCAUAUCCAAUACUAUGAUGAAGGUUCUACGUCUCUCUAUUUGACCCUUUCUAAGU